AUUGAACGCUGGCGGCAUGCCUUACACAUGCAAGUCGAACGGCAGCACGGGAGCAAUCCUGGUGGCGAGUGGCGAACGGGUGAGUAAUAUAUCGGAACGUGCCCAGUCGUGGGGGAUAACGUAGCGAAAGCUACGCUAAUACCGCAUACGAUCUACGAAUGAAAGCGGGGGAUCGCAAGACCUCGCGCGAUUGGAGCGGCCGAUAUCAGAUUAGCUAGUUGGUGAGGUAAAGGCUCACCAAGGCGACGAUCUGUAGCUGGUCUGAGAGGACGACCAGCCACACUGGAACUGAGACACGGUCCAGACUCCUACGGGAGGCAGCAGUGGGGAAUUUUGGACAAUGGGCGCAAGCCUGAUCCAGCAAUGCCGCGUGCAGGAUGAAGGCCUUCGGGUUGUAAACUGCUUUUGUACAGAACGAAACGGUCCUCUCUAAUACAAGGGGCUAAUGACGGUACUGUAAGAAUAAGCACCGGCUAACUACGUGCCAGCAGCCGCAGUAA
RNAcentral lists this ribosomal RNA (500 nucleotides) under uncultured bacterium. RNAcentral's name for it is "partial 16S ribosomal RNA". It matches the Rfam family "Bacterial small subunit ribosomal RNA", at positions 30 to 523 of the family's 1533-position model. The record is from RNAcentral.